UGGGCACUCUAGGGAGACUGCCAGGGAUAACCUGGAGGAAGGCGGGGAUGACGUCAAAUCAUCAUGCCCCUUAUGAUCUGGGCUACACACGUGCUACAAUGGUGACUACAAAGGGAAGCAGCCUCGUGAGAGUGAGCAAAUCCCAAAAAGGUCAUCUCAGUUCGGAUUGUAGUCUGCAACUCGACUACAUGAAGCUGGAAUCGCUAGUAAUCGCGAAUCAGAAUGUCGCGGUGAAUACGUUCCCGGGUCUUGUACACACCGCCCGUCACACCAUGGGAGUUGGAAAUGCCCGAAGUCUGUGA
RNAcentral lists this ribosomal RNA (302 nucleotides) under Anaerocolumna jejuensis DSM 15929. Its description in RNAcentral is "bacterial SSU rRNA". It matches the Rfam family "Bacterial small subunit ribosomal RNA", at positions 1132 to 1433 of the family's 1533-position model. Lineage: Bacteria; Bacillati; Bacillota; Clostridia; Lachnospirales; Lachnospiraceae. The record is from RNAcentral.